Non-coding RNA from Chlorocebus sabaeus (green monkey), 1268 nucleotides. Lineage: Eukaryota; Metazoa; Chordata; Mammalia; Primates; Cercopithecidae. The record is from RefSeq and is a predicted model, not a curated record.
GCUGAGUCACCUGGAGGCUGUGCCGAAGCCUGGUUGUGCUAUAAGUUUUAUGUGCAGCAGACUCUAUCUUUCUCUCAGAAGUGGGUUGGGACAGUCCUUGGUAUCCAACCCUCCCUACAUUCACCUCCUUUGAGAAGAAAAAAAUAAGACCCAGAAGGUGAAGACUGAAGUUCAGAAAGUUAAAGUGAUUUCGCCAGGGUUCCUGAUUGGUAAGUGAUGGAGGCUGAAUUUGAGCCACAUCUAUAUGCUCCAUCAUCACUCUCCUGGGGAAAACGGCCUAGAUGCAUUCUAUCUGCAUUCCUGCUUAGAUUCUGCACGACUUCUCCUGUCCAUUCCCUCGGCCCCCUCUCCUCUAGUCCAUGAGAUUACAGCUUUGCACACUGACAAGAGGGUCCUUCUUAGCCUACACAUACAACCAGGCAUCAAAGGAUGGAAGGGUUCAUCUCACACACUCACAGACCAUGUAGACUCUUCAAUCUACACCUCCAGCUAGAACUCAGAACAUUGAUGGGGACCUGCUCUCCAAUCUUUCACCUCCCCUUUCUCCAUGAAAUAAACAUCAACAUUCACUCACCAGCCCACCCCCAGCCUACAAGGUGGCCCCUGCCAGAUCACGCUUCCCACUGUGGAAGAAGGCACAUAUGAGUGAGUGGGCUCAUCCUUUGACCUCUGUGUGAGAUAGCCUAUCCCACAGAGUCAGAGUGCAGAAUUCCCAGGGUAUCACAGGUGUGGUGAUUCAGAAGAGCAGCUGUCAAUGCAUCUGAGGGCACAGACCCCCCUACCAUGCCAGGCUGGGAGAGGCCACUCCUGUAUGUGGCAGGUGGCUUGUGCCCAGUGGCAUCAAGGCUAUGGCAGGGUAUAGCAGAGAUCUAAGGCCAAGUGGAAGUGGAGCUGUUGCUUUGGUUUUGAAAACCAAAUGAAUGGCUUUUACAAACCUCCACCCACAAUUCUGUGAAAAGAGAUAAGAAUAACUCUGACCCUACUCUUACCUCCCUCUUCAUCAAUUCAAACUGAAUGAAGAGCAACCCUAUAUGGAUACAAGAGGAUAGAUACAAUGAACUCAGCUGGGUCUAGCACCACUUUCAGGGAGGCGGAUGUCCUCACUGGGCCCUCUUGCAUCUCUUCAAAAUGAGAAUGACCAAGUUGGGAUUUAUCAUUCUGUUCUUGAAUCCCAAAGACUAUCCUUAGAGCAAAAUAUACUCUUUGAAGGAUGAGGAUGUGGAGAAGCACGGUAUCUUUAAAUAACAAGGGAAGGGAAUCUCAGAUUA